GUAGGGGGCAAGCGUUGUCCGGAUUUAUUGGGCGUAAAGAGCGUGUAGGCGGCUUGGUAGGUCCGUUGUGAAAACUCGAGGCUCAACCUCGGGACGCCGAUGGAAACCAUCAAGCUAGAGUCCGGAAGAGGAGAGUGGAAUUCCUGGUGUAGCGGUGAAAUGCGCAGAUAUCAGGAAGAACACCCGUGGCUAAGGCGGCUCUCUAGUACGGUACUGACGCUGAGACGCGAAAGCGUGGGGAGCGAACAGGAUUAGAUACCCUGGUAGUCCACGCCGUAAACGAUGGGUGCUAGGUGUAGGGGGUGUCGACUCCCUCUGUGCCGAAGCUAACGCAUUAAGCACCCCGCCUGGGGAGUACGGCCGCAAGGCUA
This 371-nucleotide ribosomal RNA is filed under the name uncultured bacterium. RNAcentral describes it as "bacterial SSU rRNA". It matches the Rfam family "Bacterial small subunit ribosomal RNA", at positions 527 to 896 of the family's 1533-position model. The record is from RNAcentral.